AACCUGCUGAAGGAUCAUGUGCACACGUGUGUACACUAACCUGCUAAUGAUAUUGUGGGCGGUGUAAGCUUGCAUUACAAUAAUAUUACAUGUGCCCUGGGCUGUGUGACUUGUUUUGCAAACAUUCGUUAUGCAUUGCAUAAACAAGUUUGGUAAACUGAGUGGUGCUGUGUUUGUGUACGAUGAUUAGGUUUUGCAACGAAUGUUUUAGUUCAAUACAUGAUGAAUAAUGCAGGACAAUGCAGUAUGCAUUGUGAAUUGCAGAAUUCCGUGAGCUAACAUAUGUUUGAAUGUUACUUGCGCCUUUGGGAUAUUCUUGAAGGUUUGCUUGGUUCAAUGCCAAGUAUCUUCCAUAUGCAAUACUGCUGUUUAGCAUUGCUGUGAACAAGGAGAGUCAAUGUGUAUUGCAUUGAACAUGGAUGUGUUGCAGCUGCUUUUGCAACCUAAACAUGGUUGAUUGGGGGCAAACUUGUUUCGUCAUGUGCUGGUUGCUGUUUUGUAAAAUGUGAACAACUGAGACAAGCUGAAGACUUGCAUAUGCUUAGCAUGAAGUGAAGCACAUACACCUGCUGAAUUUAAGCAUAUAAGUAAGUGGUGGAAAUUAAACCAAAUGGGAUAUCUUUAGUAAUUGCGAAUGAACAAGGAUAUGCUUAGCUUGACAAAUGGAGCUAUUGGCUUUGAAUUGUAUUGUGGAAAUGUAUUACCAACAGAGGUGCAUGUGCCAGCCUAUUGAAAUAAAGCGUCAAUGAGAGUGAGAAUCCUGUUUGUCAUGUGCAGCCCUUUGUGCACGGUGUAUAUUUGCUGAGUCACACUCCUUGGCAUUGGAAUGCAAAGUGGGUGGUAAGUUUCAUGUAAAGGUAAACAUGCAAUUGAGACUGAUAGCACACAAGUACCAUGAGGGAAAUAUGAAAAGGACUUUGAAAAGAGAAUUAAAUGAGUUUGUAUUUGCUGAACACAAAGUAAACAGACUUGAUUUGCUUGGUGGGAGUGUUGCACUUGCUUGACAAGAGCUUUGGGCUGUGGGUGUAAUGAUUCUUUCUUUGCAUGCCAGUUUCUAUUUGUACAUCUGAUUACCUUUGCACAUGAAUGAUAAGUCUCCUGUGGGGGGUGGAUUGCAUGUGCAUGUAAUGAUUUGUGUUUUGAUAAAUGUGUCUGGUGUAUGUGUGUGUUCCUGUGCUUGGGGAUGCUUCCUUCCUUGGACUUACAAGCCCUGACACACACAUGCUGGCAAAAUGCUUCUGCUUGACCCGUCUUGAAACACGGACCAAGGAGUCUAACAGAUGUGCAAAGUUUGAAGGUGGUAUACCUUUGUGUGCAAUGAAAGUGUCAGCUGGGAUAUGUGCACCAGCACCCAAUUAAUUAGCGGACAGAGGUUUGAGUUGGAGCAUAUCUAUUAGGACC
Molecule: ribosomal RNA, 1401 nt
Filed under: Alexandrium tamarense species complex group I
Lineage: Eukaryota; Dinophyceae; Gonyaulacales; Pyrocystaceae
Description: eukaryotic LSU rRNA
Rfam family: Eukaryotic large subunit ribosomal RNA (bases 543-1401)
Source: RNAcentral